CAGCAGCCGCGGGAAUACGAAGGGUGCAAGCGUUACUCGGAAUUACUGGGCGUAAAGCGUGCGUAGGUGGUGGUUUAAGUCCGUUGUGAAAGCCCUGGGCUCAACCUGGGAAUUGCAGUGGAUACUGGGUCACUAGAGUGUGGUAGAGGAUAGUGGAAUUUCCGGUGUAGCAGUGAAAUGCGUAGAGAUCGGAAGGAACAUCUGUGGCGAAGGCGACUAUCUGGGCCAACACUGGCACUGAGGCACGAAAGCGUGGGGAGCAAACAGGAUUAGAGACCCCGGUAGUCCCUGUCUCUUAUAA
RNAcentral lists this ribosomal RNA (301 nucleotides) under uncultured bacterium. Its description in RNAcentral is "partial 16S ribosomal RNA". It matches the Rfam family "Bacterial small subunit ribosomal RNA", at positions 509 to 809 of the family's 1533-position model. The record is from RNAcentral.